Molecule: long non-coding RNA, 314 nt
Filed under: Pan troglodytes (chimpanzee)
Lineage: Eukaryota; Metazoa; Chordata; Mammalia; Primates; Hominidae
Description: long non-coding RNA NONPTRT011517
Source: RNAcentral
AGUCCUGAUCCCUUGUCCCAGGGCAGAAGAGUUUCAGAGGAAGCCCAACUCCACGGGGCGGUUUUUCAGGACCUGGAGAGGAGAAGGAGAUGAACAGUGUCAUUUAUUGUUUCCUCAGUUAUCUCAAGAGGUCCACGUCUAUCUCUCUCAUGAAGCGUAAGCACUCCUCUGACUCAGAACACUCAGUUAACUGAGGUGCUUUUUAAACAGAGAUAUGGAUUUAGAUCAUGGAGCAUAUCCUGUCACCCGUGACCAGUAGCCAAUAUUGCAGAACAGCUGACAGAAAUGUGGUAGGGAUGCCGCGUGACUACCUG